UACAGAGGUCCCAAGCGUUGUUCGGAAUUACUGGGCGUAAAGCGCACGUAGGCGGAUUUGUUAGUCAGGGGUGAAAUCCCGGGGCUCAACCUCGGAACUGCCUUUGAUACUGCAAGUCUCGAGUCCGAUAGAGGUGGGUGGAAUUCCUAGUGUAGAGGUGAAAUUCGUAGAUAUUAGGAAGAACACCGGUGGCGAAGGCGGCCCACUGGAUCGGUACUGACGCUGAGGUGCGAAAGCGUGGGGAGCAAACAGG
Molecule: ribosomal RNA, 253 nt
Filed under: uncultured bacterium
Lineage: Bacteria
Description: partial 16S ribosomal RNA
Rfam family: Bacterial small subunit ribosomal RNA
Source: RNAcentral